Molecule: long non-coding RNA, 1335 nt
Organism: Callithrix jacchus (white-tufted-ear marmoset)
Lineage: Eukaryota; Metazoa; Chordata; Mammalia; Primates; Cebidae
Source: RefSeq, a predicted model, not a curated record
GACAAGUUCUCCCUAUGUUGCCCAGGCUGGUCUCACACUUCUGACCUCAAGUGAUCCUUCCAUCUUGGCUUCCCAAAGCACUGGAAUUACAGGUUUACACGCCUAGAAUGGAGAAUGAGUUGGCCCAGAUGAGCAUCAUGUGCCUGCUCUAGAGGCCAUGAAGUUGACAUCUUGGGAGUGGCUGGAGAGCAGAGCCUCACAUGGAAGCGAGCACUCUUCCUUCAUUCUUGAUGGGGUUGCCUGCAUGCGAGGACAAUGUAUUUUGAGCUGUGGCAAAUAUGAGGUAAUAAGCAUGGGGACAAAAGGCAACACGGAGAGGAUGGUUGAGUUGGAAGAAUAUAAAGAUUAGGGUUUUUGGACUUAAGCUAAAAAGCUUCUGCAUAAUAAAAGAAAUAAUCAGCAGAGUAAACAGACAACCCACAGAAUGGGAGAAAAUCUUCACAAUCUAUACAUCCAACGAAGGACUAAUAUCCAGAAUCUCCAAAGAACACAAAUCAGCAAGAAGAAAACAAUCCCAUCAAAAAGUGCACUAGGACAUGAAGAGACAACUCUCAAAAGAAGAUGUACAAAUGGCCAACAAGCAUAUGAAAAAAUGCCCAACAUCACCAGUGAUUAGGAAAAUGCAAAUCAAAACCACAAUGAGAUACCACCUUACUCCUGAAGGAAUGGCCAUAAUAAAAAAAAAAAUCGAUGUUGCGUGGAUGCGGCGAACAGGGAACACUUCUACACUGCUGGUGGGAAUGUAAACUAGUACAGCCACUAGGAAAACCGUGCAGAGAUUCCUUAAAGAACUAAAAGUAGAUCUACCAUUGGAUCCAGCAAUCCCACUACUGAAUAUCUACCAGAGGAAAAUAAGUCAUUAUAUGAAAAAGAUACUCGCACAUGCAUGUUUGUAACAGCACAAUUUACAAUUGCAAAAAUAUGAAACCAGUCCAAAUGCCCAUCACUCAAUGAGUAGAUAAAGAAAAUGUAGUAUCUGUAUACCAUGCAAUAGUACUUAGUCAUAAAACAAGAAUGAAAUACUGCCAAUCCUGGAUGGAAUUGGAGACUAUUCUAAGUGAAGUAACUUAGAAAUGGAAAACCAAACAUCACAUAUUCUCACUCACAUAUGGGAGCUAAGCUAUGAGGACGUAAAGGCAGAAGAAUAAUACAAUGGACCUUGGUGACUCGAGGGAAAGGGUGGGAGGUGGCAAGGGCUAAAAGACUACACACUGGCUACCGUGUACACUGCCUGGGUGAUGGGCACACCAAAAUCUCAGAAAUCACCACUGAACAAAUUAUUCAUGUAACCGAACACCACCUGUUCCCCAAAAAUCUAUUCAAAUAAAAAAAACU